CUCAGGGACCGGUUCCCAAGUACACCUAGAACAUGAGGAAACCCCUGCGCUGGAGGGGAGCUGUACCAACAAACUCACUCCGACAAGCCUUCUUCAUCUGCCUCUGUCCACCGCUAAGCACUCCGAGGUGCUGCCGCUCCCGAGGUUUCGCGGGAUGAACAGUCGGGGCGCAGGGCGAGGCCCGCAGAGGCCAUGGCCGUGGCCGUGGUCCAUGGACCAUCUCUUCAUUUCUGGGACAGAUGGGGCUGCUGACACAAAUCCGAGCAGACUAUGGGCAGACCUGGCCGGAGCUCCCUGCCGUUGUCACCACAACCCAGGACAGCGCAUGGGUUCCAGGACAAACACACGGCCGUGAUUCCAAGGGGAGUCCGCGGCAGCCGCUGAGACCACUGCCAACCGGAGCAGACCUACAAGUGGACACUGUCACUUCCGGAAACGCUGAGGGACGCAAG
Molecule: long non-coding RNA, 452 nt
Organism: Tupaia belangeri chinensis (Chinese tree shrew)
Lineage: Eukaryota; Metazoa; Chordata; Mammalia; Scandentia; Tupaiidae
Exons: 3
Source: RefSeq, a predicted model, not a curated record